GGCAACGGCGGUGCGGGCGGCGGCAAGGCCGGCCCGGCGGCGGCGCUGCGCGGCUCCCAGGCCGCGGGCCUGGCGGCCCCGGGCGGCGCGGCGGCGGCCAACGGGCCCCUCGGCGCGGGCGCGGGCGCGGGCGGCGCCGCCCCCGGAGGCUACUUCGAGACUCCUUUUAAUUUUGGCAUGAAUCAUAGAACACCACCCUACCCCGCUGGGGAUUAUUGUCUUCUGUGCAGAAGUGAGCGGAAAGACUCUUCAUUCUUAGAGAGCGGAAUUAAGACUGCGAGCAAAUUGGCCCUUUCUAUGGCCCCCAAGGGCAACAGCGUGCUGCACCUGCCACUGUGGGUGUGCCCAGACUGCCGGCGGACUGUGGAGAAGGAGGAGAGGCAUAGUGGCCUCGACCAGCCAUCGCAGGGCCAAGACUUUCUUCUUCACUCCCCUCUCAGCGGCUCGCAGCCGGAGGCGGGCGGCGGGAGGCUGGCCCUCGGCGCACAGACGCUGCCCUCGGCCGGGCUGGGCGCCGCCCCCUCGGACGCCGCGUGUGCUUGCGAGGCCUGCAGCGAGCGCAGAGAGAUUUCGGCAGACACAGACCGGGAGCCCCAGCAGCUGCAGAACUACUGGUCAGAAGUGCGCUACAUGGUCCGCUGCAUUUACCGCCAGGCAGGGACUCCGCUGGCCGACGACCAAGACCAGAGUCUCGUGCCGGACAAGGAGGGGGUGAAGGAGCUCGUGGAUAGGCUCUGUGAGAGGGACCCUUACCAGCUGUACCAGCGGUUGGAACAACAGGCCAGAGAGUACGUGCUGGAGAUGAAGGUCCGGCUCCUCCGGCAGCUGUCGGCUGCAUCCAAAGUGAAAGCUCCGUCUGCCCUGCAGGGCCCUCCACAGGCACACCAGUUCAUCUCCCUCCUUCUCGAAGAGUACGGUGCCCUCUGCCAGGCGGCACGCACAAUCAGCACCUUCCUUGGCACGCUGGAAAACGAACACUUGAAAAAGUUCCAGGUGACGUGGGAGCUGCAUAAUAAACAUCUGUUUGAAAACCUGGUCUUUUCGGAGCCACUUCUCCAGAGCAACUUGCCGGCACUGGUGUCACAGAUCAGGCUGGGGACCACAACACACGACACGUGCAACGAGGACACAUACAGCACCCUGCUGCAACGGUACCAGCGCUCCGAGGAGGAGUUGCGCAGGGUGGCUGAGGAGUGGCUGGAGUGCCAGCAGAGGAUCGACGCCUAUGUCGAUGAGCAGAUGACCAUGAAAACCAAACCGCGCAUGCUGACAGAGGACUGGGAGCUUUUCAAACAAAGGCGAUUCAUUGAGGAGCAGCUAACCAACAAGAAAGCAGUUGCUGGUGAGAACAACUUCACGGACGCCAUGAGGCACAUGUUGUCCUCCCGGCUGAGCAUGCCCGACUGCCCCAACUGCAACUACAGGAGAAGAUGUGCUUGUGAUGACUGCAGCCUCUCACACAUCCUCACUUGUGGUGUCAUGGACCCCCCCGUCACUGGCGACAUCCACAGUCACCAGCUGCCCCUCCAAGUGGAUUCUGCUCCCGACUAUCUCUCUGAGAUGCGCCCACCUAGCGUGUCCUCAGCAAGCUCAGGGUCAGGUUCCAGCUCUCCCAUUACAAUUCAGCAACAUCCCAGACUCAUCCUCACAGACAAUGGCUCUGCACCAACUUUUUGUAGUGAUGACGAAGACGUUGCACCAUUGUCAGCUAAGUUUGCUGAUAUUUAUCCAUUGAGUAACUACGACGAUACUGAGGUGGUGGCCAACAUGAAUGGAAUCCACAGCGAAUUGAAUGGUGGCGGGGAAAACAUGGCUCUGAAAGAUGAGUCCCCUCAGGUAAGCAGUACCAGUAGUAGCUCUUCAGAGGCUGACGACGAAGAGGCAGACGGCGAAAGCAGUGGGGAGCCGCCAGGAGCCCCAAAGCAAGACGUAGCUCUAGGCAACGGGAGCCCCAGGAAAGAGGAAAGUAAAGUGGACAGUCCACCCCCAUCUUACCCAACUCAGCAGGCUGAACAAACUCCAAACACUUGUGAAUGUCAUGUUUGUAAACAAGAAGCCUCUGGACUGACAGCAUCAGCAAUGACAGCUGGCGCCCUUCCUCCUGGCCAUCAGUUCAUGAGCCCAGAGAAGCCCACACACCCUGCUCUGCAUCUUUACCCCCACAUCCACGGACACGUGCCUUUGCACGCAGUCCCACACCUGCCCCGCCCUCUCAUCCACCCCACCUUGUAUACAGCGCCCCCCUUCACACACAGUAAGGCUUUACCGCCAGCACCUGUUCAGAAUCACACAAAUAAGCAUCAGGUAUUCAAUGCAUCUCUUCAAGACCAUAUUUAUCCAAGCUGUUUUGGGAAUACUCCAGAGUGGAAUAGUUCUAAAUUUAUAAGUCUUUGGGGAUCAGAAGUGAUGAAUGAUAAGAACUGGAAUCCUGGCACUUUCUUGCCAGAUACAAUUUCUGGGGGUGACAUGCUAGGGCCAGCGCUGUCCGAACCCAGACCCGAAGCCCUCCCGCCUCCGCCCAGCGACGAGGCGCCCACCAUGUCGGAGAGCAAGGAGAAAAAAAGUGCCGCCAAACAGAAGUGCUUAUACAAUUUCCAAGACGCCUUCCUGGAGGCGAACAAAGUCGUGAUGGCCACGUCGUCCGCCACCUCCUCCGUAUCCUGCACGGCCACCACCGUGCAGUCAAGCAACAGCCAGUUCAAAGUGUCAUCCAAGAGGCCUCCCUCCCUAGGCGAGGUGUUCCACGGCGUCAGCAAGGAGGACCACAGACACGCGGUGCCGGCCGCCCCGAGGAACAGCCCCACGGGCCUGGCGCCGCUCCCCGCCCUCGCCCCUGCCGCCCUCGCCCCCACCUCCUCGCCUCACCUCGCAAGUCUCGCAGCCCCGUCCUUCCCCAGCACCGCGGCCACGUCCCCCGGGUUUGUGGACACGCGCAAGAGCUUCUGUCCUGCCCCCGGAGCCCCCCCGCCCCCCACCACAGACGGCUCCCUCAGCGCCCCCCCCAGCGUCUGCAGUGACCCCGACUGCGAGGGGCACCGCUGUGAGAACGGCGUGUAUGACCCGCAGCAAGACGACGGGGACGAGAGUGCUGACGAGGACAGCUGCUCCGAGCACAGCUCUAGCACCUCGACCUCCACCAACCAGAAGGAGGGCAAGUACUGUGACUGCUGCUACUGUGAGUUCUUCGGGCACGGCGGGCCUCCGGCUGCACCAACAAGUAGGAAUUAUGCAGAAAUGAGGGAGAAGCUUCGUUUGCGGCUGACCAAGAGGAAAGAGGAACAGCCUAAGAAAGCGGACCAGCUCUCUGAGAGGGAGGGUGUGGUUGACCAUCGCAGGGUGGAGGACCUUCUGCGGUUCAUAAACAGCUCUGAGCCCAAGCCAGUGAGCAGCACCCGAGCCGCCAAGCGAGCCAGGCACAAGCAGAGAAAGCUGGAAGAGAAGGCGCGCCUGGAAGCAGAGGCCCGGGCCCGGGAGCACCUGCACCUCCGGGAGGAGCAGCGGCGGCAGGAGGAGGAGGAGGAGUUUCAGCGGCUUCAGGAGCUUCAGAAGCUGAGGGCUGUGAAAAAGAAGAAGAAGGAGAGGCCAAGCAAAGACUGUCCCAAGUUGGACAUCCUUGCUAGAAACUUCCAGGCAGCAGCAGAGUCUGUACCUAACUCUGAAAACAUGCACAAUGGCUCACUAGAGCAAAUGGAAGAACCAGAGACCUCACCCCACUCCCCUUCCAGACACGGGGACCACUCAGAGCCGGGGCCGGGGCCGGGGGCCGACGGCGAUGCCGCCGACCCCAUGGACGCCAGAGACUCCAAGCUCCUCCUCCCGAAGGAGGUCAGCGGGAAGCAGCAGGAGCCGCUGUCUUUUCUCCUUGACAUCAUGCAUCAGCACAAGGAGGGGAGUGGCAAGCAAAAGCUCAAGCAGACCAGUAAGGCCAGCAGCGAGCCGGCGAGAAGGCCGGCCGAGCCCCCCAAGGCCUCCGAGAGCCAGCCCAGACCCCGGCCCCAGACUGAGUCGAAGGCAAAAGUCCUGGACCUCGCUUCCCUGGCAGAGCAGAAAAGAGAGGAGAGGAAAGUCAACAGUAACAACAAUAACAAAAAGCAGCUGAACCACGUCAAGGAAGAAAGGUUGAAUCUGGCCCCCCAGGAGCCUGCCUCCCCCAGCGAGCACCCUCAGGACAGCAAGCUGGUGCCCGCAGACUCUCCUCAGCCCAAGGGCAAGAGCAAGAAGAACCGGAAGAAGAAAGGAGACAGAGUCAGCAGCUCAAUCGAUGAUGUCUUUCUGCCUAAAGAUAUCGACCUAGACAGCGUGGACAUGGACGAGACAGAGAGGGAAGUGGAGUAUUUCAAAAGAUUCUGUUUGGAUUCGGCUAGACAGACCCGACAAAGACUGUCCAUCAACUGGUCCAAUUUUAGCUUGAAAAAGGCCACUUUUGCCGCCCACUGAAUGAGGACCGCCUGGAGAGGGACGCGCAGGAGAUCUCUGCAGGCAGUUUGUGGGAGUCUCCGGUGGAACCGCCAUCCUGUUCCCACCCACUUCCCGGAGCACCCCGGAGCCCCACUGCUCCCCACUCUUGGACUUCUGGACUGACGGCCUGCAGGUGGGACAGAGCAGAGGCAAGAGGGACUCCUGAGGCUCUGCUCUGAGCCCUGGGCGGGACGGGGUCAAGUCUGGGGUGCUCAUCAGAAGCCCAGGUGAGAUGUCUGGCGCUGGGGAUCGCUGCUCGUGAGCAGAAGGCCCCCCCAGGAACAAGUGUGGACAGGUCGGGCGGGGGGCUGUCCGCAGAUCCAGUAUCACAGGUGGCGGGAGCAUGGCUCGGCAGGGCUGCUGUGGCCGAGGUGAGGUCCAAGAACUGGCCCUGGGCUCCCACCACAACCCCGUGGGAGCUGGUUUGCGGGAAGACAGGGUGGGAAGAGCAGGUCCUGGGACUAGGAGACGGGGUGGCAGCAAGACGAGCAGGGGGACAAAAAGCUGGCUGGCUUGUUCUGCUUUUGUUUUUCUAGGUGGGAGGAAGGACAGCAUAUCUCUGCUCCUGGGAUGACCCAGCAGAUCGAGGAGCAGGCUGGGUGGUGACCACAGGAGCCAUGUCCUCAAAAGGCCCUGAUGUGCCUCCAGGACUUCCAGGCCCAGGCCUCGUCCCUUCCCGGUGAGCGUGAGGGUAGCCGGGCUGGCUGGGCAAAUGCUGGGGAGGGUCCCGGGGAGCCUGCAAACCUGGACCCUGCCAUCUGGGGAACCUGCCCGCCCAGGCCCAUCCCUGAGACCCUGCCCGUGCCCCACCCCAUCCUUCUCAUGAGUUGGAAGCAGUCCCACCUGUGGGCCACAGCUUUCACCUGUCCUGGGGGCCACAGUGGCCAAAGGGUCCUACCUGUGACAUGAGCAGGGCCUUGUCAGGGCCAGGAGUGGUGAGGGGGACCCCUGGGCACCCCAACACAGUGUCCACACACACCCAUGUCUCCACCUAAGUUGGCCCCACCUGCCCCCCUGCCACACCCCUGCCCCCCCCCACACACGGGCCAGCCACCUAGGCCUUAUUCCAGCCGGCCUUUCUGCUUGAAAUCGGGAGAUUGCCCUUCCCACGUUCCACACAAGGCCCAACCCUUUCGCUCCUUUGGGUCUUUCCCUGAGUGGGGGUUGGGGGGGGUGUCUCUUUACCAUUCCCAGUUCUCAGGAACAGAACACUGAGGAUGGAUUUCGGGCCUGGGAGGCCCAGGACAGUCCAGGGGUAGGAAAAGGUGGAGGGUCGAGGCUGGCAGGGCUUCCUUAAGUUCAGCCCCUCCCACACAGGUGGAGGCAGGCCCAGGCCAAGACACUGGAUACUGUGCCCCCCAGUGCAAGGCUGCGUCGUCCUGCCCAGGCAUUGCAUUUACUGGUGGGGAAACCAAGGCCCAAGGUGUGCCUGCGAGACAUCUGGCCCCAGUGCUACUGUCUUCACAGGGGCCUCGGCCCGAGGGUCAGAUCGCAUUGGAGUGUCCUCUCCUUUACACAAUAAAUGAUCACGAGAUGAAAUAAAAUAACAGUAGCCAGAAAAGAAACAGUGAAAAUGCCCUUUCGUUGAACUUUGUCUACAUAGUCAGGCCAUUAAAAAAAAAUAUUAUCAAAAUGAGCAUUAUGGUACCAAAAAGGAUUAACAUUUCUUCAUUUCACUAAUAUAUUUUUUUAAAGAAGAUAGAACUUACCUCACAGGUCACACUGUGUCGCGGUUUUAAACACAAAUAAAACCUCUCGGUCACACAUGCAAUGACGAUUGAA
Neofelis nebulosa (Clouded leopard) is the source of this 6240-nucleotide RNA transcript. It is a transcript of the gene named family with sequence similarity 193 member A, with no coding region annotated. The transcript is spliced from 23 exons. The record is from RefSeq and is a predicted model, not a curated record. NCBI's taxonomy places the organism in Eukaryota, Metazoa, Chordata, Mammalia, Carnivora, Felidae.